RNAcentral lists this ribosomal RNA (450 nucleotides) under uncultured bacterium. RNAcentral describes it as "bacterial SSU rRNA". It matches the Rfam family "Bacterial small subunit ribosomal RNA", at positions 29 to 524 of the family's 1533-position model. The record is from RNAcentral.
AAUGAACGCUGGCGGCAGGCCUAACACAUGCAAGUCGAACGAGGUAGCAAUACCUAGUGGCGGACGGGUGAGUAACACGUGGGAACGUACCCUUUGCUACGGAAUAGCCCUGGGAAACUGGGAGUAAUACCGUAUGAGCCCGAGAGGGGAAAGAUUUAUCGGCAAAGGAUCGGCCCGCGUUGGAUUAGGUAGUUGGUGGGGUAAUGGCCUACCAAGCCGACGAUCCAUAGCUGGUUUGAGAGGAUGAUCAGCCACACUGGGACUGAGACACGGCCCAGACUCCUACGGGAGGUAGCAGUGGGGAAUCUUAGACAAUGGGGGAAACCCUGAUCUAGCCAUGCCGCGUGAUCGAUGAAGGCCUUAGGGUUGUAAAGAUCUUUCAGGUGGGAAGAUAAUGACUGUACCACCAGAAGAAGCCCCGGCUAACUCCGUGCCAGCAGCCGCGGUAAU